Molecule: ribosomal RNA, 253 nt
Filed under: uncultured bacterium
Lineage: Bacteria
Description: partial 16S ribosomal RNA
Rfam family: Bacterial small subunit ribosomal RNA
Source: RNAcentral
UACGGAGGGAGCUAGCGUUAUUCGGAAUUACUGGGCGUAAAGCGCACGUAGGCGGCUUUGUAAGUUAGAGGUGAAAGCCUGGAGCUCAACUCCAGAAUUGCCUUUAAGACUGCAUCGCUUGAAUCCAGGAGAGGUGAGUGGAAUUCCGAGUGUAGAGGUGAAAUUCGUAGAUAUUCGGAAGAACACCAGUGGCGAAGGCGGCUCACUGGACCGGUAUUGACGCUGAGGUGCGAAAGCGUGGGGAGCAAACAGG